ACAAGAGUUAAUCCUGUUGAAUACCCAGCCUGCUGAGGGCACUCUUCCCGCACGCGGUUUGGACCAUAGGAUCUUUCUUAAAAUCGAUCAAGGCCGUCAGUUUCCAUUGUUUUCACAGAUUUUUUUCACCGUGGGUUGUCUUUUUACGUAGAUUGUAACUGGAUCCGGUGUAAUCUGGCCCCAUCCGUCAGUCUCAUCCCACGAUGAAGGCGUCGUAGAAAAAAGUCACCGCUCCCCUGCUUCUCCUUCAUCUCUGCCCUUCCUUCGUUCUCCCCUAAUCCGUGGCCCAUCCCCACCUCGGAACCCUAGCGGCGGCCUCCUUCGACGCCUGCUGCGCGUGUGCACGGGCCUCGCUGCCGCUGGCACAGCUCCUCCGCGUGUCUGCCCCGGUCUGCACCGUUGCGGGGGCACCCUGCGGUUCCAGCCCGACGAGGACGGCGGCAACGGGAAGGUUGCGGCUGAGCUUGCGCCGGGGGAGAUCGCAAAGAGGUGCGGCCCCGAGGAUUUUGGAAGGGAUGAAAAGAGGGGGUUGGUUUGUGGAUCCCGUGCUAUUCCCGUACAUCUCGCAGCUGGUGUUGUCGGCGCUCGUGUUUGCCGGCACCCUGAAGGAUGACGCAGACGUCUGGGGCAGGGUGGUUUCCGGUGCUGCUAGGAAGGGGUUGUCGGACUAUCGGUGCAGGAGUUCACGUCCUGGGUGUUCUGCGAGUCAGAGCCAACAAUUAUAUGCAGUUUGCUAGCAGAGGGCAGCCUCUGGUUUGAUCUAAAAAGGAUAUGUAGUCUGCUUGAUUGGUGCCUUUCUUGGCUUCAGAGGAAGAUUCCCGUGGAUUUCCUUUCCAAGUGCAUGCUGUUACUAUACUUGUUAGACCAGUGCCUCUUCCAUGUAUUAGUUCUUAAUCAGCAUGUAUAUUACUCUCCCCCAUCACGGGGUCAGGAGCCGUGGAGGCGGCGCUUAGUUGUACAGGCCGACGAACGUCAAGGCAUCAUAGGAGCCACAAUGAUGGAUAACGCUGAGGGGGAGAAGAAGGCGCUCUAGCGGCGCUUGGUCGGGCAGAGGAGGCAUGGGGAUGUGGAGAUCUGGUGCAGAACAACAGAGGCGUGUGGUGUAGAGAAGUGCUGGGGAGAGAGGAUACGUCGUUGGUUUUGUUGAUGCUACUUGCCACUACCAGAACAAGGCUACAGCCUGUGAGAAGCACUGUGCUUCUGCUUGCUGCUAACGUUGAGUGGAGUCAGCGAUUAGUGAGAGAGAUCGGGAGAUGGAGACAUGGAGUGCUGCUAGCUGAUGUGCUACUUAUUUCUUGGACAGUGAGUUGAGUGAUGGUGCUGCAUUUUGAUUACAAAGAAAUUCAGAGAGGGAGCUUCAGAGCUGGACUGUUUUUGGUAUGGUAUUUUAGAAUUUUCAUUGCCAUAAUUUAGAUAAAUAUUAGUCUCUAAUCUGAUUUGUUGGACUGUGAGUUCAGUGAUGGUGUUGAAUGUUGACUACAUAGAAAUUCAAAGAGAGAGCUGGAAUGUUGGUAUUUUAGAUUUUCAUAUGUAGAUGCCAUAAUUUCGUUAUUGCUCACAGCCCUCUACACAUCCGGUCCGAGGGUGAAGUGCAACUGUAUCUGCCGAGCACACAUAUGGUAGAGGGUGGUACAAGGGUCUCCUUCGACCAAACCGUGGCAGGUCCAAGAUUGCGCCAUCCAGGAGCUGUGUUGAACAUGACCCACCUCCGCUUGCUCUCAGACCGGCUGCCACACCCUGGAGUGGUGCUGAAUCAGGACCUGCCACCACUCAAUCUCGGACCGGCUGCCGCAAACCUGCAAGGAUGACGAACAUGACCCUUUAUGGUGCGGUCCAUUGAUGUUUCAAACUAAUAAUUCAGUGUUACAAGAUAUUGCUUCCAAACCCUGGGUUUUACUCCUUAGCUUGAUUUUUGUUUCACUGUUAUUGGAUUACAAAUCAAUAGUAUGCUAUUUCCCUGGAAUUACUCAGCCUGAUAGGAGGCAGAGGUAGGUAUGCAUGACGAUAUGCUUUAGUGGAUUUGCAGUUGUGGUGUGAUUUAGAUGUGAGUUCCAGUAGCGUCUGAUUGUUUGAAUCUAUAUUUUGAUAUGUCUGGUUUGUUCUCAUUGGAUUUUGGGGACAAAGAUAAGAGCUGAACGCUGAUGUUGAUCAAGAGUUGAUGCCUGUAUCAUUUUAUUUCCAAAUAAAACCAUCCCGGUAAUUUUUUAUUGGAUCUAUAUUCUUGCCAAGAGCAUACAUAGUGUGGCUGCAGAUUGAUACCACGAGUAUAAGGGGUACACUUUUAUUUUUUUCCAUUUUCUUUACCUGCAUAGAUGAUUUUCCCUGAUGACGUUUUAGCAAGUAUUAGGAGUAAUGUGUAGUUGUUUGCUACUAGAUUAUACCUACAAGCUCUAUUCCCUAUUCUAUGUUUCUUUGCCAAAAAUUCAGCAUUGCUAGCUAACAGUUUUUUUCCUGUGUUCAAAGUGAUGUGAUUUCGAAACUGAGCAUUUGUGUUUUACCUCUUUCAUUGCAUUAUAUAUAUAUAUAAUAGUACUCACAUGUCAUUUCUUAUUUCUCGCUAAUGCUUAUUCACCUUUUAACUAUUAUAAAGUUUUCUUCUUUUUCUAGCCCUUCGGCCAACAAGAUUAAUGCUUCCAUUUAUUUUCACUUUUUUUUAUCUGACGUGCCAUCUAGAAGUUCAAUAAAAGUGUGUUAGCUACUUGGUUGCCAUUUGUAUAAUGUAUAGUCAUUUUUUUUGCAUCUUUUGAUCUUAUUAGCCGCCUCCUCUGUUUACAAAGCUUUUGAUGUAGUUGCAUUCAUUUUGUAACUGCUAAAAAUAUUGUGGUGCAUUUAUUUAUCAUUUUCUAUUUUUUGAGUGGAGAUGAUUUGGAGAUAAUUGUGCUAAAAUACCACAGUGAGUCAGUCACCUGUUUACCGAGACUCCUAUUGCUUGCGGAUGUUGUCCAAUAAAUGGAAAAUUGACUGUAUCUAAAGAAGGUGCUAUUACUAAUAUAUCAAGCUCUUAGCUAAAUUAGUUAGGAACUUGGUCAUUUUUGUCUGGUUUACAACAUAAGCUUGCUAGAAGAAGUCCUUAAUUAGCAACUAUGUUUCUUCGUUGUAGUCACAAUGUCAGAUCCAUUUAGAUCCCAUAUGAGCCCAUUCAAAUCUUUCUGCAACCAUUUGCAUUAUUUCUACUGCGACCCAUCUCAUCAUAUCUAAUAGAUUCAUUCCAGUUAUGAAUCUACCAAUUGAUUUUAUGGGGCUACUUCAGUAGGCCGAACUUUAGUCCGUACAUUGUUUUCACUGGAAUUUCUUAUAUAAAUAGUGUAUGUGCCCAUAAAAAAACUAUUGGAGUACCCUAAAUAUUUUUGUACUCACUAACCAACUUUAACCUUUGUCAAUUCAUUUUGAAUAACCACACAAACUUACCAAAUAUCUUUUUGGGACAUAUGAACCACCUGUUUUAAUUUCAAGCCGAUUAGAAUUUGAGGUAGAUAUAUAUCAGUGUUUGUAUGUCCCACUCCGUUGCAGGUAAUGGGGCUUAAGACCAUCCGACCAUAGGAUCCUAUGCUUACCUUUCUCACCAACCUUUAGGGAGAAGGUUACCUUUUCUGUGCCCUGUCAGCUACAGUAGCUUCCCAUUUGGAUAUCCAAGCACGAGGCGGCACCAUGGGGAAACCGAAUAGACAUAUCCAGCUGAGGAAAAACUACCCAUUUGCCAGGCUUCACCGGUUUACAAGGAAGAUUAUAGUUGAGCUCAUCAUCAGCCCUUCCAGUGUCAUUCUGCCGUAUAGGCUGAUCAGUUAUGCUAUUCCCAGUAGCCACACUGCAUGCGUAGCUAGAUCUACUAAGAGUGCUUGUGGUUGAUAUUAAAUUUUACAUUUACCUCCGUAAAGACUCUUUAUGUACUCAUGAAGUCAUGAUAUAGUAUCUCAGCUUAUACCAACCAACUAUUGAGCGCAGUACAGUACACUGAGUUUUGUUUCUCCA
This is an RNA transcript of Lolium perenne, 3969 nucleotides long. RefSeq lists it as uncharacterized. Lineage: Eukaryota; Viridiplantae; Streptophyta; Magnoliopsida; Poales; Poaceae. The record is from RefSeq and is a predicted model, not a curated record.